This 796-nucleotide small RNA is filed under the name uncultured Cryptococcus. RNAcentral's name for it is "eukaryotic LSU rRNA". The stretch from base 511 to 796 matches the Rfam family "Eukaryotic large subunit ribosomal RNA", at positions 1 to 281 of the family's 3401-position model. The record is from RNAcentral. Lineage: Eukaryota; Fungi; Basidiomycota; Tremellomycetes.
GUUUCCGUAGGUGAACCUGCGGAAGGAUCAUUAGUGAAUUGAGCUGGCUUCGGCCGCUCUGAUCUAUACACACCUGUGAACUGUUGGCCUUCGGGUCUUUAAUUACAACUGUGACGAACGUAAAUUAUUAUAACAAAUAAAACUUUUAACAACGGAUCUCUUGGCUCUCGCAUCGAUGAAGAACGCAGCGAAAUGCGAUAAGUAAUGUGAAUUGCAGAAUUCAGUGAAUCAUCGAAUCUUUGAACGCACCUUGCGCCCGUUGGUAUUCCGACGGGCAUGCCUGUUUGAGUGUCGUGAACAACCUCAACCUUGAUUGGUUUUACCAUCAAGGCUUGGACUUGGGUGUUGCUGCUGCAAAGUGGCUCGCCUUAAAACUAUUAGCUGGACUUGUCUAUGACUUGGUUCGACUCGAUGUAAUAAGUAUUCAUCGGGGACAGGGUUAAACCUGGCCAAGGCUUGAUGCCGUCUGCUUCUAAUCAUGUUCUCACUAUGAGACGCUACUUUACUGUGUGGCCUCAAAUCAGGUAGGAUUACCCGCUGAACUUAAGCAUAUCAAUAAGCGGAGGAAAAGAAACUAACAAGGAUUCCCCUAGUAACGGCGAGUGAAGCGGGAUGAGCUCAAAUUUGUAAUCUGGUGGACUCAGUUCAUCCGAAUUGUAAUCUAUAGAAAAGUUUUCCGCGCUGGACCGUGUCUAAGUCCCUUGGAACAGGGUGUCAGAGAGGGUGAGAAUCCCGUGCUUGAUACGACCACCAGUGCUAUGUGAUACUUUUUCAACGAGUCGAGUUGUUUGGGAAU